AACAACCCAGUCGUCAGCUGACGUCAUUUGGCAAUGAAAAUAAACAAGAUUGCGUUUUGUUUAUGUGUGCCAAGUUCAAGAGAGGAUUUUGAAUGAUCCUAUAGAAGUCUAACUCCCGGACUAACGGAGUCCUCAACCCACCCAUUCACUACCAGCUCAAGCAAUGCAAAGGAGCUGUUGCCGGCGCUGUAUAAAAUUUUUGAUUGAAAUUGAAACAAUAACAAACCAACAAACCCUUCCUUGUCUAAUUUAACGGAAUAUUUACACCGUGAAUCGCCAUGAACCGUUCGGAUUCCAUACCCAUAAAACGUGAUCGCUCCUUUGACAGCGUUCUCAAUCGUUUGCUCCGCAUGCGUUCUCAAAAUCAUGAGAGUUUCCGUGCGGCAAUGUACAACUUUCUGAUCGCAGCAGGCGUCGCUGCUUUUGUCGCCGUCUGCUUCAUCCUGGGACCUUUUGUGCGCCCACUGCUUUGGGCCUUUCUCAUGGGCGCUGUCUUGUUUCCAUUUAAAAGGAAGCUCGCGGAGUUGCUCAACAAUUGGUUUCAGCGUCUGGAGGAACGUGAUUCAAAUGUGCUUGUCUCGAUUUGUCUGGCACCACUGGAGGCUACCGAGCAUUGUGGUCGUUUAUUGAUCAACUGGUUGUGUCAGCAUUGGCAGCUUUUGCUCUCCGGCUGCGGUGUCGCCGUCUGCAUUAAACUUCUGGUCUUGUAUGCUCCUAAGGACUUCUUGCUUGCCCUCUGGCACUGGCUGACCUUCUCUCACGGACUUUUUGUGCGCAUCAUUGGCUAUCUGAAUGUAUAUUUGCUGCUUGGUCUGAUCGUCAUCUAUUUGACAUCUGUUCACUUCUUCUGGACGCCCGAGAAGAGCGCGCAUUUCGUCGUUGCCGGCCAGUCCAUGUGGAUCGCCGUUGCCGGCUAUCUGUGCAGCUUUCUAGGCGCUCUUCAGGUGCCUGUCUUCCUACUCAUCAUGGCUUAUGUGGUGGUAUCCACAGCGUAUCAUCUGCAGACAAGCGAUGACAGUGAUUCCGCCACCUUUCUCGAUCGUGUGCAAAAGUUAUUCGACAAGAAUGACUUUGAGAAAUCACUGAGCAAUAUCAGCAUCUGUCGUCGAGCUGGAGGCGAGGCAACAUUGCAAUCUGAUGUGGAGGACAUCUCCUUGAGUGACACCAUUGAUUCCACUGAUACAUUUGAUGCCAAGCCCACAGAGGAUACCGAAGGAGGACAUCAGAGUGAUACUUUCUUCAAGCUGCUGUUUUAUGCUUGCCUUGGCACAUUUCUCUAUCGCAAUAUUUGGAUGUUUAUACUGGCGGCUGUGCCAAUCUUCCUGCAUUUGCUGUACACCGUGGGAACUUACACAGGAAUUACCCAGUUUGUCUGCGGCAAGAUUAACGAUGGCUAUCAAGCCUUGAGGACUUGGGCUCUGGAGCAUCAUUCGGCGGUACUUCCUCUGUGCCUGCCUGGAGUAUUGGAGUUGAACUAUAAGAUUAAUUGUAUUGUUAGAGACUCGCUGAAAUCAUCUGUAGAGUCUGUCACAUCCAUACUCAUGAUCAUACUCAUGCUGCUCAUUAUCAUAUUUCUGAGUGUUUUCUUUUGCGUUAACAUCUAUUCAGAGACCAUUGAGGUCGCAUAUCUGGGCAAAGAUCUAAUUAACAAGACAAUCACAGAUCGUCCUGAGCUAAUUGAUAUUCUGCCCGCCAAUAUACAGGCGUCCAUUGAUGAUGCGCUCGACAAUGCGCACCAUUAUGGACGACGUAAGAUUGAGACCUAUAUUGAUGAUUGGCUAGUGGAUGCGGAUAAGGUGCAUGCCACCAAGCUCAAGGAGCAAAUACUCGAUGUCUGGGAUAGGUUGAUACAAUAUUGGAUAGAUUUUAACAAGGCGGGCACUUCAUAUGGUCCUCGAGUCCCUACGGAUGCUUUAAAGAGCACCUUUGGCGAGAUUGUCGAUAAUCCAGGACAUUUUAAAGAGCUAGUUUUAGUGGCAAAACAGGGCAUCAUUGGCUGGGCUCAGAGCAAUACCCAAACCAUUCUCGAGGUCGCCGAAUCCUUAUGGCACAUCAUACGCACCAAUCUAUCCGUCAUCAUGGGCGUUGCCGGCGAAAUCCUUUCAUUGCUGCUGUCGGGCGGACAGGCGUGCAUUGAAUUCAUCUUGGACAUGAUCGUAUUCUUCACAGCGCUCUUCUAUCUGUUGUCCAGCAGCCAGGAGAAGUACGCUCCUUUGCAGAUAACCAAAUAUUUGGGAUACUCAGCUUCGGGCAUAAAGAUCGCGGAUGCCUUGGAGAAUUCCAUUACGGUUGUGCUGAUAUCCAUGUUCAAGUGCUCCACAUUUACGGGUUUGUUCACUUGGUUGGUGCACACUGUGUUUGGUGCCCGCAUUGUCUUCCUGCCCUCGGCAUUGGCUGCACUUCUGGCAGCUGCUCCGUUCCUGGGCAGCUAUUGGUGUGCUGUGCCUGCUUUUCUGGAGCUGUGGCUGGCACAGGAUCGCUUCUAUGCAGGCUUGAUACUGUUCCUAUUACAGUUCUUUGUGCCCUCUUCCUUUGAGACGGCAAUCUAUGCAGAUCUUAAGGGUGGCGGACACCCCUAUCUCAAUGGUCUGGCGAUAGCUGGCGGAAUGUAUUGGAUUGGCUGGCAAGGAGCCAUCUUUGGUCCCCUCAUGCUGUGCUUCUUCAUCGGUCUCUUCGAGGUGGCCACCCUGGCCAUGAGAACGAGCCAAGAGCCUAGGUAUGUUUGGAGAUCAAGUUAGUUUUACAUUUGUUUGCAUGCAAGUUAAGAAACUUUUAUCAAAAAUAAACCGCAGCCUACGGAUUUAAGCGCAGUUCGGAUGAGGAGACGCGCACUACGUGAGUUGGAUUAAGGAAGAUUGAAACACUACGAAUUUCCUCUUAUACUCGAAAUGCAAUCUAACAAAUCAAUUAGCCAAGUUAAUGAACUAACUAAUAAUUGUCAUCACAGUUUAUCCAGUUUAAGUUUCCAGUUUUACUUAUAUUAAUAUUUGAUGCAUCGCUUUGUUUCUAUUUUGUACUAAAUUUUAAAGUAUACAAAAAUACGAUUCCGUCUUGAAAUCUCGGUAUUAAAAUUAAUCAACUUAAAUAACUAAUAUCAUAUAAGACUUGAUACUCUUGAAAAGCUUAAAAAAACAGCUUAAUCCUUGAAGCUUUAGCAUUUAAUGUCCUUAUCAUACUUUUCAAGGGUAUUUACGCUUCGAUCAGCCGAAGAUAGCUUUUUAGUUGUAGUAUUAAUCACAAAACUCUGUUUGACUUUUUUUUAUGUAUAUAAUGAAAGAAUUUCUGUUUAAAGCUUGACUCUAAAAACCGCAAAACCGGUUUGAAUGCAAGAACGUACCUUAUUUUGUGCUCGCUACAAAUGUGAUUUGUUUAAGCUUAAGUUUAAAGUUCCGUUGCAAAUAAAUGUCAUUUACCUACUAACAAAAAAA
Molecule: RNA transcript, 3428 nt
Organism: Drosophila innubila
Lineage: Eukaryota; Metazoa; Arthropoda; Insecta; Diptera; Drosophilidae
Gene name: transmembrane protein 245
Exons: 8
Source: RefSeq, a predicted model, not a curated record